This 29-nucleotide small RNA is filed under the name Bombyx mori (domestic silkworm). Its description in RNAcentral is "ovarian small RNA-7403". The record is from RNAcentral. Lineage: Eukaryota; Metazoa; Arthropoda; Insecta; Lepidoptera; Bombycidae.
UCCUCUCCUAUGACCACGACGAGGGCGGC